GCUUACGGCCACACCUCCCUGAGCACGCCGAUCUCGUCUGAUCUCGGAAGCUAAGCAGGGUCGGGGCUCCGGUUAGUACUUGGAUGGGAGACCGCCUGGGAAUACCAGGUGCUGUAAGCC
RNAcentral lists this ribosomal RNA (120 nucleotides) under Esox lucius (northern pike). Lineage: Eukaryota; Metazoa; Chordata; Actinopteri; Esociformes; Esocidae. The record is from RNAcentral.